This 488-nucleotide non-coding RNA is filed under the name Pan troglodytes (chimpanzee). Lineage: Eukaryota; Metazoa; Chordata; Mammalia; Primates; Hominidae. The record is from RNAcentral.
AAACCACUCCCUGGGUCCCCGCCGGAGGCUGGCCCAGGGCAGUCCCACAGCCGCGCGCCUCACGCGCAGUUGCCCAUGGCCUUGACCAAGGAGCUCUCUGGCAGCUGGCGGAAGAUGCCCCGCAGCGUGUCCAGUUCGCGGCUCAGCUGUUCCACCCGCUUGCGCAGGCGGUCAUUGUCACUGGUCAGCUCCAGCACCUUCUGCUGCGUCUCCACGUUGCGCUGCUUGGCCUUGUCGCGGCUCUUGCGCACCGCGAUGUUGUUGCGCUCGCGCCGCACCCGGUACUCGUUGCUGUUCUUGUCCACCGACUUCUUGGCCUUGCCCGCGCCGCUGCCGCCACUCGCGCGGAGGUCGGGGUGCGCGGGCGGCGGGUGCGGGUGCGGGUGCGGGUGCGAGGGCGGCGGCGGCGGCGGCGGCUGGUAAGGGAAGAGGCCGGCCAGCGCCAGCUGCUUGGCUUCAUCCUCCUCGCGGGGCUCCUGCUUGAUCAC